This 220-nucleotide ribosomal RNA is filed under the name uncultured bacterium. Its description in RNAcentral is "partial 16S ribosomal RNA". It matches the Rfam family "Bacterial small subunit ribosomal RNA", at positions 524 to 742 of the family's 1533-position model. The record is from RNAcentral.
UACGUAGGUGGCAAGCGUUGUCCGGAUUUACUGGGCGUAAAGGGCGUGCAGGCGGUCUGUUAAGUGCAGGGUGAAAGCUCCCGGCUCAACUGGGAGAGGUCCUUGCAUACUGGCGGACUUGAGGGGGGUAGAGGAAAGUGGAAUUCCCGGUGUAGUGGUGAUAUGCGUAGAUAUCGGGAGGAACACCUGUGGCGAAGGCGGUUCUCUGGGCCUUACCGUG